Homo sapiens (human) is the source of this 396-nucleotide long non-coding RNA. Ensembl annotates it as ESAM antisense RNA 1. Its record names the gene ESAM-AS1. The record is from Ensembl. Lineage: Eukaryota; Metazoa; Chordata; Mammalia; Primates; Hominidae.
GCGCGGGGUCCGCCGCCCGGGGGCGCCCCCAGCGCGCGGACGGCGGGACCCUGCGGCCUCCUCCAGGUCUGGACGCAGGGAGGGGUGAGACUGUUCUGGCCAAAGAGACUGGAGAUCCAGUAUCAGCAAGCUACUUUCUUGCAUUUAGCAAUGAAUACUAUGGGAUUAUGGCUAAAAGAUGGUCAAGACUGCCUCAGCCAUUAGGAUCAGAAUUCUAAGUUCCAAAGAAGAGCAAACUCAAGAGGAUUUCCUCAGGCCUCUGACUAUAGAUGCUGCCUGGGGAGAACAGGUGCUACACUCAAAACAUUCUCAUUUUAUUUAUAUCCUCCCUGAACUAGUACCCAACUCCAUAACCCCAGACUCAAAUAACAGAAAUAAAAGCCAUCUCACUGAUUA